UACGUAGGGUCCGAGCGUUGUCCGGAUUUAUUGGGCGUAAAGAGCUCGUAGGCGGUUCCGUAAGUCAGAUGUGAAAACUCAGGGCUCAACCCGGAGACGCCAUCUGAUACUGCGGUGACUGGAGUCUGGAAGGGGAUGGUGGAAUUCCCAGUGUAGAGGUGAAAUUCGUAGAUAUUGGGAAGAACACCGGUGGCGAAGGCGGCCAUCUGGACCGCAACUGACGCUGAGGCGCGAAAGCGUGGGGAGCAAACAGG
RNAcentral lists this ribosomal RNA (254 nucleotides) under uncultured bacterium. RNAcentral describes it as "partial 16S ribosomal RNA". It matches the Rfam family "Bacterial small subunit ribosomal RNA", at positions 524 to 776 of the family's 1533-position model. The record is from RNAcentral.